This is a non-coding RNA of Solanum lycopersicum (tomato), 83 nucleotides long. The record is from Rfam. NCBI's taxonomy places the organism in Eukaryota, Viridiplantae, Streptophyta, Magnoliopsida, Solanales, Solanaceae.
AGGAGCUGGAUGAGAAGAAACUCUCACGUCCGGUUCUGUAGUAGAGAUGUUUUAGUAGUUUGAAGUUUGGAUCCUUAGCUUAU